CUCCGGUUGAUCCCGCCGGACCCGACUGCUAUCAGAGUGGGACUAAGCCAUGCGAGUCGACGUAGCAAUGCGUGGCGAACGGCUCAGUAACACGUAGUCAACAUGCCCAGGGGACGUGGAUAACCUCGGGAAACUGAGAAUAAACCACGAUAGGUCACGAUUUCUGGAAUGGAUCAUGGCCUAAAUCUACAUGGCCCCUGGAUUGGACUGCGGCCGAUCAGGCUGUUGGUGAGGUAAUGGCCCACCAAACCUAUAACCGGUACGGGCUCUGAGAGGAGAAGCCCGGAGAUGGGCACUGAGACAAGGGCCCAGGCCCUAUGGGGCGCAGCAGGCGCGAAACCUCUGCAAUAGGCGAAAGCCUGACAGGGUUACUCUGAGUGAUUUCCGCUAAGGGGAUCUUUUGGCACCUCUAAAAAUGGUGCAGAAUAAGGGGUGGGCAAGUCUGGUGUCAGCCGCCGCGGUAAUACCAGCACCCCGAGUGGUCGGGACGAUUAUUGGGCCUAAAGCAUCCGUAGCCGGUUCUGCAAGUCUUCCGUUAAAUCCAGCCGCUCAACGGAUGGGCCGCGGAGGAUACUACAGGACUAGGAGGCGGGAGAGGCAAGCGGUACUCAGUGGGUAGGGGUAAAAUCCUUUGAUCCAUUGAAGACCACCAGUGGCGAAGGCGGCUUGCCAGAACGCGCUCGACGGUGAGGGAUGAAAGCUGGGGGAGCAAACCGGAUUAGAUACCCGGGUAGUCCCAGCUGUAAACGAUGCAGACUCGGUGAUGGGCUAGCCUUGUGCCAGCCCAGUGCCGCAGGGAAGCCGUUAAGUCUGCCGCCUGGGGAGUACGGUCGCAAGACUGAAACUUAAAGGAAUUGGCGGGGGAGCA
Molecule: ribosomal RNA, 868 nt
Filed under: uncultured archaeon
Lineage: Archaea
Description: bacterial SSU rRNA
Rfam family: Archaeal small subunit ribosomal RNA
Source: RNAcentral